Molecule: long non-coding RNA, 665 nt
Filed under: Olea europaea subsp. europaea
Lineage: Eukaryota; Viridiplantae; Streptophyta; Magnoliopsida; Lamiales; Oleaceae
Source: RNAcentral
CGGCUGCAAAGUUUAGAAAUGUUACCCUAACGCGUAAACCUCCUGUACCGCGCCUCCUCGACCGGUGACCGUCCCUGCUGCUCCGCGCCGCGCCAUCUGUAAACUUGCAUACAGAAAAUAGUAUCUUCCAAAAAACCAACGUCUGUUCGUACCACUGUCUAAUACAAUUAUUUGCAGAAUUACAGUAUGAAACUGAAUCCCCGCAAGCUUUGCUCAAUGUUCCACACUCCUAUACCACCGCAGCGCCACCACUACUAUACACAAUCUCAAGCUUCACAUGCCAUUCCCACCCCCUGUCCCUCCUCGCCACCGAUCAAUGUCGGCUUUGUGGUUUCCUCAAUCAAGUCUUCUCAGUGGCAUUUCAUCAAACAACUUUCCCCAAAUAUGACACCUACCCUCAUUUCCACCACUUUUGUCAAUCUUCGCUCUUCCCCUGACCUAAUUACUGAUUUCAUAGAAAAUCUUAGUGCCAGUUCGCUCACCACCGAAUGCUAUUGUCUCGCCAUUGCAAUUCUUGCUCGCCUGCCGUCCCCGAAACAAGCUUUGCAACUUAUUAAGAAAAUGAUCAAUUCUGGUGUUGCAACUCAUAGAGAGAUUUUUGAUGGAUUAGUUUGUGCGCGGAGGAGGUUGAAUGUGUCCAGUACAAUUGCUCUAGAUUUGUUGUU